AGUGAACGCUGGCGGUAGGCCUAACACAUGCAAGUCGAACGGCAGCACAGUAAGAGCUUGCUCUUACGGGUGGCGAGUGGCGGACGGGUGAGGAAUACAUCGGAAUCUACUUUUUCGUGGGGGAUAACGUAGGGAAACUUACGCUAAUACCGCAUACGACCUACGGGUGAAAGCAGGGGAUCUUCGGACCUUGCGCGAUUGAAUGAGCCGAUGUCGGAUUAGCUAGUUGGCGGGGUAAAGGCCCACCAAGGCGACGAUCCGUAGCUGGUCUGAGAGGAUGACAGCCAAAACGGAAACUAGGACCGGGUCAGGACCCUACGGGGGGGAGGAGGUGGGAAAUAUGGACAAUGGGCGCAAGCCUGAUCCAGCCAUACCGCGUGGGUGAAGAAGGCCUUCGGGUUGUAAAGCCCUUUUGUUGGGAAAGAAAAGCAGCAGGUUAAUACCCCGCUGUUCUGACGGUACCCAAAGAAUAAGCACCGGCUAACUUCGU
Molecule: ribosomal RNA, 490 nt
Filed under: uncultured bacterium
Lineage: Bacteria
Description: partial 16S ribosomal RNA
Rfam family: Bacterial small subunit ribosomal RNA
Source: RNAcentral